GCCGAGCUCGGUAGUGUGAGCUUGUAACUCGAACGGGGGCAUUAAUGUGGCUGGAGGUUGGUCCAGCUCACCGAGUAGGGUAUUUGCGAGAUAUAUUAUGGCCUGCCCAUUCCAAGUAGAGAGUUGGGCGUUGGGCUUCGAGCGAAGGCUUGGAGAUCAUUGCCACUAGAGACGGAGGAAACCGCGUGAGGCUGGUUUCACAGAGCAGCGUAACCUCCCACUCUUGUCGGUGGAAGGAUUACAGGCCGUUUCUCGGUUGCCCAUCGAAUACUCUGUGGGUAGUUCUCAUCCCAACAUCCACUUUU
Molecule: non-coding RNA, 305 nt
Organism: Cucumis sativus (cucumber)
Lineage: Eukaryota; Viridiplantae; Streptophyta; Magnoliopsida; Cucurbitales; Cucurbitaceae
Source: Rfam